AGAGUUUGAUCCUGGCUCAGAUUGAACGCUGGCGGAAUGCUUUACACAUGCAAGUCGAACGGCAGCAUAGAGAGCUUGCUCUCUGAUGGCGAGUGGCGAACGGGUGAGUAAUAUAUCGGAACGUGCCUAGUAAUGGGGAAUAACUAGCUGAAAGGUUAGCUAAUGCCGCAUACGACCUACGGGUGAAAGCAGGGGAUCUUCGGACCUUGCGUUAUUAGAGCGGCCGAUAUCUGAUUAGCUUGUUGGUAGGGUAAAAGCCUACCAAGGCGACGAUCAGUAGCUGGUCUGAGAGGACGAUCAGCCACACUGGAACUGAGACACGGUCCAGACUCCUACGGGAGGCAGCAGUGGGGAAUUUUGGACAAUGGGGGCAACCCUGAUCCAGCCAUUCCGCGUGAGUGAAGAAGGCCUUCGGGUUGUAAAGCUCUUUCGCAAGAGAAGAAAGCUUGCUAUUUAAUAAAUAGUAAGUAUGACGGUAUCUUGACAAGAAGCACCGGCUAACUAUGUGCCAGCAGCCGCGGUAAUACAUAGGGUGCAAGCGUUAAUCGGAAUUACUGGGCGUAAAGCGUUCGCAGGCGGUCUUAUAAGUCAGAUGUGAAAUCCCCGAGCUCAACUUGGGAACUGCGUUUGAAACUGUAAGACUAGAGUGUGUCAGAGGGGGGUAGAAUUCCAUGUGUAGCAGUGAAAUGCGUAGAUAUGUGGAGGAAUACCAAUGGCGAAGGCAGCCCCCUGGGAUAACACUGACGCUCAUGAACGAAAGCGUGGGGAGCAAACAGGAUUAGAUACCCUGGUAGUCCACGCCCUAAACGAUGUCUACUAGUUGUUGGUGGAGUAAAAUCCAUGAGUAACGCAGCUAACGCGUGAAGUAGACCGCCUGGGGAGUACGGUCGCAAGAUUAAAACUCAAAUGAAUUGACGGGGGCCCGCACAAGCGGUGGAUUAUGUGGAUUAAUUCGAUGCAACGCGAAAAACCUUACCUGGCCUUGACAUGUACCGAAUUUAGCAGAGAUGCUUUAGUGCUCGAAAGAGAACGGUAACAC
Molecule: ribosomal RNA, 1039 nt
Filed under: marine metagenome
Description: bacterial SSU rRNA
Rfam family: Bacterial small subunit ribosomal RNA
Source: RNAcentral